This 242-nucleotide ribosomal RNA is filed under the name uncultured bacterium. Its description in RNAcentral is "partial 16S ribosomal RNA". It matches the Rfam family "Bacterial small subunit ribosomal RNA", at positions 532 to 773 of the family's 1533-position model. The record is from RNAcentral.
AUCCAAGCGUUAUCCGGAUUUAUUGGGUUUAAAGGGUGCGUAGGCGGGUUGAUAAGUUAGAGGUGAAAUACCGGGGCUUAACUCCGGAACUGCCUCUAAUACUGUUGAGCUAGAGAGUAGUUGCGGUAGGCGGAAUGUAUGGUGUAGCGGUGAAAUGCUUAGAGAUCAUACAGAACACCGAUUGCGAAGGCAGCUUACCAAACUAUAUCUGACGUUGAGGCACGAAAGCGUGGGGAGCAAAC